Molecule: non-coding RNA, 368 nt
Organism: Arachis ipaensis
Lineage: Eukaryota; Viridiplantae; Streptophyta; Magnoliopsida; Fabales; Fabaceae
Source: RefSeq, a predicted model, not a curated record
CACCAACCUUCAUUCUCCACUGCCGGCAUCACGAUUACACCGCCGUCACUCCGUUUGCUCACGCUGCCACGGUCGCUCCUCAUGUAUCCCCUUCAAUUUCAUUUGGAAAUUCCUAAAUUCCCCUUGAUCCUCUCCAUGCCGAUGACCCCUCUGCUCUUCAGAUCCGUGUGCCAGAAGGUUGUGAUCUUGUUGCUGCUGGAGCACUUGCUGUGACAUUUGGCACUUUUCAUGUAGCACUUGUGCAUAGAGCUAAUUUAACCUUAGUCAGGUGUUGAUGGUUUUGGGUGCAGCAGGAGGUGUAGGGCUUGCAGCUGUUCAAAUUAGAAAAGUGUGUGGUGCCAUUGUCAUUGCUGUUGCUAGGUAGUACU